RNAcentral lists this ribosomal RNA (2917 nucleotides) under Acinetobacter baumannii. RNAcentral describes it as "bacterial LSU rRNA". It matches the Rfam family "Bacterial large subunit ribosomal RNA". Lineage: Bacteria; Pseudomonadati; Pseudomonadota; Gammaproteobacteria; Moraxellales; Moraxellaceae. The record is from RNAcentral.
GUUGUAUAGUCAAGUAAUUAAGUGCAUGUGGUGGAUGCCUUGGCAGUCAGAGGCGAUGAAAGACGUGAUAGCCUGCGAAAAGCUCCGGGGAGGCGGCAAAUAUCCUUUGAUCCGGAGAUGUCUGAAUGGGGGAACCCACCUACUUUAAGGUAGGUAUUGCAACAUGAAUACAUAGUGUUGCAAGGCGAACGAGGGGAAGUGAAACAUCUCAGUACCCUUAGGAAAAGAAAUCAAUUGAGAUUCCCUCAGUAGCGGCGAGCGAACGGGGAUCAGCCCAUUAAGUUAUGUGUGUUUUAGUGGAACGCUCUGGGAAGUGCGAACGUAGAGGGUGAUAUUCCCGUACACGAAAGGGCACACAUAAUGAUGACGAGUAGGGCGAGGCACGUGAAACCUUGUCUGAAUAUGGGGGGACCAUCCUCCAAGGCUAAAUACUCCUGACUGACCGAUAGUGAACCAGUACCGUGAGGGAAAGGCGAAAAGAACCCCUGUGAGGGGAGUGAAAUAGAUCCUGAAACCGCAUGCAUACAAGCAGUGGGAGCACCUUCGUGGUGUGACUGCGUACCUUUUGUAUAAUGGGUCAGCGACUUAUAUUCAGUAGCGAGGUUAACCGUAUAGGGGAGCCGUAGAGAAAUCGAGUCUUAAUAGGGCGUUUAGUUGCUGGGUAUAGACCCGAAACCAGGCGAUCUAUCCAUGAGCAGGUUGAAGGUUGGGUAACACUAACUGGAGGACCGAACCCACUGUCGUUGAAAAGCCAGGGGAUGACUUGUGGAUAGGGGUGAAAGGCUAAUCAAGCCUGGUGAUAGCUGGUUCUCCCCGAAAGCUAUUUAGGUAGCGCCUCGGACGAAUACCAUAGGGGGUAGAGCACUGUUUCGGCUAGGGGGUCAUCCCGACUUACCAAACCGAUGCAAACUCCGAAUACCUAUGAGUACUAUCCGGGAGACAGACUGCGGGUGCUAACGUCCGUAGUCAAGAGGAAAACAAUCCAGACCGCCAGCUAAGGCCCCAAAAUCAUAGUUAAGUGGGAAACGAUGUGGGAAGGCAUAGACAGCUAGGAGGUUGGCUUAGAAGCAGCCACCCUUUAAAGAAAGCGUAAUAGCUCACUAGUCGAGUCGGCCUGCGCGGAAGAUGUAACGGGGCUAAAACUAUGUGCCGAAGCUGCGGAUUUGACAUUAGUCAAGUGGUAGGGGAGCGUUCUGUAAGCCGAUGAAGGUGUGUUGAGAAGCAUGCUGGAGGUAUCAGAAGUGCGAAUGCUGACGUGAGUAACGACAAAACGGGUGAAAAACCCGUUCGCCGAAAGACCAAGGGUUCCAGUCCAACGUUAAUCGGGGCUGGGUGAGUCGACCCCUAAGGCGAGGCCGAAAGGCGUAGUCGAUGGGAAAAUGGUUAAUAUUCCAUUACUUCUGUGUAAUGCGAUGAGAGGACGGAGAAGGCUAAAUCAGCCUGGCGUUGGUUGUCCAGGUGAAAGGAUGUAGGCAUGUAUCUUAGGCAAAUCCGGGGUACUCUAUGCUGAGAUCUGAUAGCAAGCUGUACUUGUACAGCGAAGUGGUUGAUGCCAUGCUUCCAGGAAAAGUCUCUAAGCUUCAGUUACACAGGAAUCGUACCCGAAACCGACACAGGUGGUCAGGUCGAGUAGACCAAGGCGCUUGAGAGAACUCUGCUGAAGGAACUAGGCAAAAUGGUACCGUAACUUCGGGAGAAGGUACGCUGUUGUUGGUGAUGGAACUCGCUUCCUGAGCUGACGACAGCCGCAGAAACCAGGCCGCUGCAACUGUUUAUUAAAAACAUAGCACUCUGCAAACACGAAAGUGGACGUAUAGGGUGUGAUGCCUGCCCGGUGCUGGAAGGUUAAUUGAUGGGGUUAGCGUAAGCGAAGCUCUUGAUCGAAGCCCCAGUAAACGGCGGCCGUAACUAUAACGGUCCUAAGGUAGCGAAAUUCCUUGUCGGGUAAGUUCCGACCUGCACGAAUGGCAUAAUGAUGGCGGCGCUGUCUCCAGCAGAGGCUCAGUGAAAUCGAAAUCGCUGUGAAGAUGCAGUGUACCCGCGGCUAGACGGAAAGACCCCGUGAACCUUUACUGCAGCUUGACACUGAACUUUGACCUUACUUGUGUAGGAUAGGUGGGAGGCUUUGAAGCUGGAACGCUAGUUCCAGUGGAGCCGUCCUUGAAAUACCACCCUGGUAAUGUUGAGGUUCUAACUCUGUCCCGUGAUCCGGGACGAGGACCGUGUCUGGUGGGUAGUUUGACUGGGGCGGUCUCCUCCUAAAGAGUAACGGAGGAGUACGAAGGUGCGCUCAGCGUGGUCGGAAAUCACGCGUAGAGUAUAAAGGCAAAAGCGCGCUUAACUGCGAGACCCACAAGUCGAGCAGGUACGAAAGUAGGUCUUAGUGAUCCGGUGGUUCUGUAUGGAAGGGCCAUCGCUCAACGGAUAAAAGGUACUCUGGGGAUAACAGGCUGAUACCGCCCAAGAGUUCAUAUCGACGGCGGUGUUUGGCACCUCGAUGUCGGCUCAUCUCAUCCUGGGGCUGAAGCAGGUCCCAAGGGUAUGGCUGUUCGCCAUUUAAAGAGGUACGCGAGCUGGGUUUAGAACGUCGUGAGACAGUUCGGUCCCUAUCUACCGUGGGCGCUGGAAAUUUGAGAGGAUCUGCUCCUAGUACGAGAGGACCAGAGUGGACGAACCUCUGGUGUACCGGUUGUGACGCCAGUCGCAUCGCCGGGUAGCUAUGUUCGGAAGGGAUAACCGCUGAAAGCAUCUAAGCGGGAAGCCUACCUCAAGAUAAGAUUUCCCUAGGACUUUAUGUCCUCUAAAGAGCCGUUCGAGACUAGGACGUUGAUAGGUUGGAUGUGGAAGCAUAGUGAUAUGUGAAGCUGACCAAUACUAAUUGCUCGUGAGGCUUGACUAUACAACACCCAAGCAGUUG